This 329-nucleotide unclassified non-coding RNA is filed under the name soil metagenome. RNAcentral's name for it is "partial contains 5.8S ribosomal RNA, internal transcribed spacer 2, and large subunit ribosomal RNA". The stretch from base 1 to 120 matches the Rfam family "5.8S ribosomal RNA", at positions 35 to 154 of the family's 154-position model. The record is from RNAcentral.
GAUGAAGAACGCAGCGAAAUGCGAUAAGUAAUGUGAAUUGCAGAAUUCAGUGAAUCAUCGAAUCUUUGAACGCACAUUGCGCCCCCUGGUAUUCCGGGGGGCAUGCCUGUCCGAGCGUCAUUGCAACCCUCAAGCUCAGCUUGGUGUUGGGCCCCGCCGCCCCGGCGGGCCCUAAAGUCAGUGGCGGUGCCGUCCGGCUCCGAGCGUAGUAAUUCUUCUCGCUCUGGAGGUCCGGUCGUGUGCUCGCCAGCAACCCCCAAUUUUUUUCAGGUUGACCUCGGAUCAGGUAGGGAUACCCGCUGAACUUAAGCAUAUCAAUAAGCGGAGGU